Molecule: ribosomal RNA, 301 nt
Filed under: uncultured bacterium
Lineage: Bacteria
Description: partial 16S ribosomal RNA
Rfam family: Bacterial small subunit ribosomal RNA
Source: RNAcentral
CAGUAGCCGCGGUAAUACGUAGGUGGCAAGCGUUGUCCGGAAUUAUUGGGCGUAAAGGGCUCGCAGGCGGUUUCUUAAGUCUGAUGUGAAAGCCCCCGGCUCAACCGGGGAGGGUCAUUGGAAACUGGGAAACUUGAGUGCAGAAAAGGAGAGUGGAAUUCCACGUGUAGCGGUGAAAUGCGUAGAGAUGUGGUGGAACACCAGUGGCGAAGGCGACUCUCUGGUCUGUAACUGACGCUGAGGAGCGAAAGCGUGGGGAGCGAACAGGAUUAGAUACCCGAGUAGUCCCUGUCUCUUAUAA